Molecule: transfer RNA, 98 nt
Filed under: Sphingobacteriales bacterium
Lineage: Bacteria; Pseudomonadati; Bacteroidota; Sphingobacteriia; Sphingobacteriales
Description: tRNA-OTHER
Source: RNAcentral
GGAGUUAGGCUAAAAUCGGGUAAAGCGGGUUAAAGUAGAAAAGCUUAAAAAAAAUUCUUACAAGCAGAGGGUCGGCGGUUCGAGCCCGUCAACUCCCA